Haliotis rubra (blacklip abalone) is the source of this 137-nucleotide long non-coding RNA. RefSeq lists it as uncharacterized. The transcript has 3 exons. The record is from RefSeq and is a predicted model, not a curated record. Lineage: Eukaryota; Metazoa; Mollusca; Gastropoda; Lepetellida; Haliotidae.
UUUUCACUGUAUGUAUUAACAUUUUCCAUGUACCCCGCUGGGAAUACCGAACUCAUUUGGAACUUCGAACUAGUAAUUCUUUAUCUCGAAUAACGUUGAAUCACGUAUGAUGUACGGAAAUUACCGAUGUUUUGCGA